RNAcentral lists this long non-coding RNA (1109 nucleotides) under Coffea arabica (coffee). Its description in RNAcentral is "long non-coding RNA (CARA_LNC007462)". The record is from RNAcentral. Lineage: Eukaryota; Viridiplantae; Streptophyta; Magnoliopsida; Gentianales; Rubiaceae.
UGAAGAAAUAAUGAAGCCAUGAUGGCUGGGAAAGUAAGCAAAUUUAGGGGAAGUGCUAUCCGAAGUUUUAAAGGACUUGUUUGCAUUGAGUUUGUGAUCUAAGACUUGGAUUUGAGCAAGGCAAUGUUAUGUGAUGGAUGAUUUCUGAGCCGUGGAGGUGAGUGACCUCAAACUACUUCUAAAGUUAUUUAUGAACCGUUUCUUACAUUAUUUACUUUUGAACUGUUUCCAAAGUUACUUUUGAAAUAUUUUCUUGCAUAUCAUGCGUGCUGGCAUGUGAGUGUGCCUUGUUUGCUAUAUUUCUUGACUUCAUGACUUGUAUUUUGGUUGAUAACGUGUUAAGCGCUUAUAAUGAUUUCCAAAACGAGUUUUCGAGGCGAGUGUGUACUUUAUCGCACUCGACCUCGAUAAAUGUGAAAUUUUCGAUUGAAAUGUUACUUGCGCAUGAAUGUAAGCCUUUUGGGCUGAACUGGCCAUUGCCCCUUGUUACCGGUCGUCUUGAGCCAGAAGCGGACUCGGUCAGGCGAUUAGGAACUUGGGUGAACGUUUGGUAUACUCGAGUAUUACCUAUGUAGGUUGGUGGAGCCUGACCAAAAGCCAGGGACGGGGUGAAUGAAAUGAAAUGAAUGAUCAAAUGAGCGAGGAAAUGUCAGGAGAAUGAAUGUAUCCUUUCAUGAAUGUUACUAUCGCUUUCCAUUGUACAUGUUUCUUGAAUUAUUGAUACUCCAUAUUUAAUGUUUUGCAAAUGAUGUAAUCGUUUCUGGACUUAUCAUUUGAUUUAUGACAUCAUUGAAAAGAAAUAUUGUUAAACCAAUUUGAUUACUGAUUUUCUGGUUACUCGCUGAGCUUCUAGCUCACCCCAAAAACUAUUUUAUUUCCCCCCCCACAGGGCUCAAGGUGAAGAAAAGCUUGGAGUGCUUAUUCACGUGACUAGAUGGCUUAUAUCGUGUACAGUUUAAGUUUGGAUCUAUUUUAUGUAUGAGUUGGUCUUGUGUAAAUAUUUGAAAUUGAUAUGGAUGUAAGUAUACGUUCCACGAUUGGAAUCAGUUUCCGCUGCAUUUGUAAUAUGUAAUCAUUGGAGAAUUUGAUGUAAUUUUGAGAUUUAUAUU